Molecule: unclassified non-coding RNA, 371 nt
Filed under: Hevea brasiliensis (rubber tree)
Lineage: Eukaryota; Viridiplantae; Streptophyta; Magnoliopsida; Malpighiales; Euphorbiaceae
Source: RNAcentral
GAAAUGGGUUCCUGUUAAACCACUUCCAAAUGCUUUUAUUGUCAACGUUGGAGACAUCAUGGAGAUUGUGAGCAACUGUAUUUAUCGGAGCAUCGAGCAUAGGGCAACGGUGAAUUCAACAAAGGAGAGGCUUUCCAUUGCAACAUUCUACAGUUCAAAGCUAGGCUCCGAGUUGGGCCCUGCAGCCAGCCUCAUUGGCCCUCACAAUCCAGCAAAAUUUAAGCAAGUCCCAUUGGAGAAGUACUUCAAGGAAUUUUUUGCUCGGAAAUUGAAUGGCAAGUCAUAUCUUGACUUCAUGAGAAUAGAAGAUGGAGAAAACAACACCUGAAUAUACUCGUACAAUAAGCGUGACUUUACGUUCUAUAAUAAAG